CAGUCGAGAAUCUUCGGCAAUGGACGCAAGUCUGACCGAGCGAUGCCGCGUGCGGGAUGAAGGCCUUCGGGUUGUAAACCGCUGUCAGAGGGGAUGAAGUGUACGGGAGUUAUCUCCUGUAUUUGACAGAGCCUCAGAGGAAGCACGGGCUAAGUUCGUGCCAGCAGCCGCGGUAAUACGAACUGUGCGAACGUUAUUCGGAAUCACUGGGCUUAAAGGGUGCGUAGGCGGUUAUCUAAGUCAGGUGUGAAAUCUCUCGGCUCAACCGGGAAACUGCGCUUGAAACUGGAUGACUGGAGUGAUGCAGGGGUGUGUGGAACUUCCGGUGGAGCGGUGAAAUGUGUAGAUAUCGGAAGGAACGCCAGCAGCGAAAGCGGCACACUGGGCAUUUUCUGACGCUGAGGCACGAAAGCUAGGGGAGUGAACGGGAUUAGA
RNAcentral lists this ribosomal RNA (435 nucleotides) under uncultured bacterium. RNAcentral's name for it is "bacterial SSU rRNA". It matches the Rfam family "Bacterial small subunit ribosomal RNA", at positions 352 to 782 of the family's 1533-position model. The record is from RNAcentral.